AAUAUGUUAUUCUGCCUUUUCUCUUUGGUUAUGAAAAAUAAUCUAUGCCAUUUUUCAUGUAUAUGAAAUGUACAGGUUUAUGCUUUUUUACAUCUCCCUAUUAUAUGUUUUUUACCACUAUUAGGAAAAAAAGGAAAAAGUUGAAAAGUUUAAACUUUGUGUUGAUUGUUGUUUUGUUAUCUGGUUUGGUUGGAUUUCAUGGACGAUGAUAGCAAGCUCAACCAUUGAAAUGCUUGCAAUGUGUACAAAGAAAAAAAAGUGAUAAUUAUGCAGUGAAAGUAAUUAAGAUAUUAAUGAAUGGAGAUUAAAAUAGAAAUGCAAUCAUGUCAAAUUAAAAAGAAGUGCAAUCGAUUGUUUGAGCUUUUUAGAUGAGUUUUCUUGGUCUCUCUCCUUUUUUUUUCAGUUUCAUUUUUUUUUUCUUCUGUCUCUGGUUUUUGUUUUCAGCAAGUUUUUUAUUUUUUAUUUUAUUCUUGGUAUUUCUUUUUCUUAGCCUUCUAACAGAAAAAAGAUUGUUUCUUUCCAGCAAGAUAGUAAUGAUUCUUUCUAUCAAGUUCUUGAUGGUUGUUCUUUGUUUUUCUUUUUGCGUCAAAUAAACUUUUCUCCUCCAGUCAUUCGAUUAAAGACCUGCGCAGCUCAUUGCCUUUUCGGUUUAUUCAUUUAUUUUAAUUUGCCACUUGAAGAUGUCUUUAUGCCCUUUUGUGUUUGUUCUCUUCAUUACUCUUUUUUGGCUAGUCGCAGCAGCUCCUAGUCUACAACAAUUUCUCCCUGUAAUGCGAGAUCAUCUUCAAAUUUUUUUCUUAAGAGGAUAUGUGCGUCAACGCCAUCCCCAGCAAACCUGCCUAUCCUCACUGCACAGCUGACACCUAGGCUAUGGUUGCUUACGACCACUGUGUGAUUUUAUUCCUUGAGAUCUCUUGAUGUUGUUAGGUUUCGUUGAUCGAAUGAACUUCAUUAUGAUUCUUUUUGAUUGGCUGUUUUAGACAUGCAUCACUCACCCUGUUUAAAUAAUGCCGAGUUAUUCCUUGAGAUCUCUUGAUGCUGUUAGGUUUUGCUUAAUGUCUACUCAAUGAAGGAGGAAAUUUAUUUGAUGGUAUAAGACUUUCUUCUGACAAAGACUGUACCUUCUGCAAGACAUUGUUAGACGAAGAGCUAUAGUUAUAUAUGCCAAAAAUAAGAGAGAGAGAGAGAUGGCUAGUGAAGAGACUCUGUGCUGCAGGCAAAGUUCUGUUUAUAACAGGAUGGUUCAUAUUUUUAAUUUAGAAUACUUGAUAUGAGAUUGUGUUUAUUGU
Long non-coding RNA from Populus euphratica (Euphrates poplar), 1289 nucleotides. RefSeq lists it as uncharacterized. The transcript is spliced from 2 exons. The record is from RefSeq and is a predicted model, not a curated record. NCBI's taxonomy places the organism in Eukaryota, Viridiplantae, Streptophyta, Magnoliopsida, Malpighiales, Salicaceae.